AGCAGAUAGAUUGUAACAUAGUGAAUUUUGAUAUAAAAGUAAAAAUAAAUAAAAAUAGUGUGAGAUGCUAUUUUUAUUGGAUUUAGAGAAGUAAAAUAUAAGUCGAAAAUGACUUGUGCUGAAAUCGGAAUUAAAACAGAAGAUUUAGAAAUUUUCUGUGAGAAACGGAACUGAUAUUUUAGCAGAAAAUGCACAGUGUCAGAAAAUUAUAAAAGCUAGAGAAUAUGUCAGAAUUAUUUUUAUGAGAUUAGAUUUAAAGUUUCAUAUCAUUCUGACACCCGGAAGGUGGAAAAUAAAAUCCGACUGCUAUCUGCUAGAGAUUACAGUUCGGUAGAGCUUUCGAUAACCAAACAGGAUCGAAACUGAAAGAUUAAAAUUUUUUCGUCAAGUUAAGUAAAACCGAGCCUAACUAUCAAAUUUGAGCUCAA
Molecule: long non-coding RNA, 428 nt
Filed under: Ananas comosus (pineapple)
Lineage: Eukaryota; Viridiplantae; Streptophyta; Magnoliopsida; Poales; Bromeliaceae
Description: long non-coding RNA (ACOM_LNC042628)
Source: RNAcentral